GGAUGGAUCAUUAACGUUCUUUAAACAAAAAAAAGGAAAAGGAAGAGGAAGAUCGGAGCUCGUAACUGUCUGUAUUUGCGGAUUAGUGGUUUCCCUGCGAAUACGGAGCAAGAACAGAUAUUGACCAGCCAGGACGCCUUGGUAAUGACACGCAAGCUGACUUGGGGAGGUAGAAGCACUACUCGGGGUGGAAACACCAUCCCGUCGGGGCUGUUUGCGGCGUCAUUAUCCCCUCCCUUACUGUCCACCCUUGUGGUUUAUAGGACAUUAUUGUAUGAUGUGUGUUGUUGUGGCGGUGCCUCAUGGCGUCAACGCAGACACACAUUGUUCAGUAGCCCCAUUAUACAAAACACUUGUCUCCAUUUAAAGACUAAAGUAACCUUGUGAAUCGAAUCACGCAGGCGUAUCUAGUAUAUGUUUGUUUGUUUAUUUUGAAUUACCAAGUAAAACAAUCAUUAAUAUCUAUACAACUGCUAGCAACGGAUCACUCGGCUCUCGCGUCGAUGAAGAACGUAGCGAAGUGCGAAAAUUAAUGCGACCCGCAACACGUGAGUCAUCGAGUUUUUGAACGCAUAUUGCACCCAGCCGUUAAAGUGCUGGGUCUGCCUGUCUGAGUAUUAUUAAUACCCAACUCAUAACCUCAUGGUUGUGUGGGUUGGUGCUCGUCGGCAUAGUCUCUCUCGGGAGGCGAUGUCGGUGGAUUUGGAUGUCUGGUCGGCUUGCAAUAACAGCGGAUCAGUCAUUUGAAAUGCAUUGGUAAUAGUUAUCGACUGUUAAUGAUUGCCAACUGCUUCAAGCAUUGUUAAUCAUCUUUCAUUAGAUGUUCCUUGCUUACAAGCGGACGGAUCCAACAAUCAUUAGCCGGAUGAUCGCCACGCUCUAGUGGCAGUCGUCUGUCUAUCCAGAAGUUGUUAAUGCCACUUGCACAGCUGUGUGUAUCUCCCGUCAAACGGAGAGGCACGGCCGUACACUCAUGUAUCUACUUAAUCUCAGAUCAGGCAGGAUGACCCGCUGAACUUAAGCAUAUUAGUAAGCGGAGGAAAAGAAACUAACCAGGAUUCCCUCAGUAACGGCGAGCGAAGCGGGAAUAGCCCAAUCUGAAAAGCUGGUCUGCCCCGGAGCAGGUCCCGCAUUGUAGGUUGAUGAGGCGUUUCCUAGUGCUAGACCUUUCAAUUAAAGUUCCUUGGAACAGGACAUCAGAGAGGGUGAUAAUCCCGUGAUUAAUUGAACGACAUACCAGUCUAGUACGCCUAUGGAGCGUCUUCUUAGAGUCGGGAUGUUUGGGAUUGCAUUCCAAAGUGGGUGGUAAACUCCAUCUAAGGCUAAAUACUGGCGAGAGACCGAUAGCGAACAAGUACCGUGAGGGAAAGUUGAAAAGCACUCUGGAGAGAGAGUCAAACAGUACGUGAAAUUGCUAGCAGGGAAACGUUGGAUACCAGUACACGGCAAUCAAUGCCAAUGAUCAGUCAAUGUCCGUGUCAGUUGCAGUGUGGUGGUCACACCUUUGGAGAUUGUCCCAGGGCAACUCACGCGCUUCAAAUGAUACGGGUGUUGGUGCACUCGUUGGCAGCCGGGUCAACAUCAGUUAAUGACGUCCGACAAGUCUUUAGACAAGGUAGCAUUGACGGGUUCGCUCGUCGAUGAACUUAUAGGUCUGAUGUACGAGGAUGUCGGUUGACUGAGGACAGUCGACUCGUGCGUUUCGGCGCAGGGCGUACAGGCGGGGUCAAGGUUGCCCGUGGCGUUAAUCAGCAUGCUGAUUGACGUUCAUUUUACCGUACUUGUGCGGUAGUGGCGAUCGUCCCGUCGGUGCAAGCCACUAGCGAGUCUAUGACGGUUGACGAAAUGGUACUCAACGACCCGUCUUGAAACACGGACCAAGGAGUCUAACAUGUCUGCGAGUGUUUGGGUGGUAAACCCUUACGCGGAAUGAAAGUAACGAGGCAAGUCUCGCGCUUGUCCACUGGUAGGAAUCGAAGCGCCACGGCGCGACGAGGCACUACCGACCGACCUGGUGCCCUCUGUGGUGUUAGGUUUGAGUUGGAGCAGUCCUGUUAGGACCCGAAAGAUGGUGAACUAUGCCUGAGCAGGAUGAAGUCAGAGGAAACUCUGAUGGAGGUCCGUAGCGGUUCUGACGUGCAAAUCGAUCGUCGGACUUGGGUAUAGGGGCGAAAGACUAAUCGAACCAUCUAGUAGCUGGUUCCUGC
RNAcentral lists this unclassified non-coding RNA (2207 nucleotides) under uncultured fungus. Its description in RNAcentral is "sequence contains 18S rRNA gene, ITS1, 5.8S rRNA gene, ITS2, 28S rRNA gene". The stretch from base 985 to 2207 matches the Rfam family "Eukaryotic large subunit ribosomal RNA", at positions 1 to 961 of the family's 3401-position model. The record is from RNAcentral. Lineage: Eukaryota; Fungi.